GGAUGUGGGGGUGAUCUGGCUGCGACAUCUGUCACCCCAUUGAUCACCAGGGUUGAUUUGACUGAUCUGGCUGGCUAGGCAGGUGUCCCCUUCCUCCCCCACAGCUCCAUGUGUGUCCCUCCUGAAGCUGUGUGCUCUGCCGAAGAGGAUGACCUUCCCUGAUAGAGGAGGACGAUUCUUCAGUCAAGGGCAUACGAGUAGCUGCACUCCCCUGCUAGAACCUCCAAACAAGCUCUCAAGAAUUGGGCUUAGGUUUGGGGGACAAAGGAAACAUUUUGCACUUCUAAUUUAGGCUAGAAUCCAGUUCCUGCAAGAAUCAUGCUGUCAGUU
RNAcentral lists this small nuclear RNA (330 nucleotides) under Propithecus coquereli (Coquerel's sifaka). RNAcentral's name for it is "7SK RNA (ENSPCOG00000011262.1)". It matches the Rfam family "7SK RNA". Rfam says of the family: 7SK was discovered as an abundant small nuclear RNA in the mid-70s but a possible function has only recently been suggested. Two independent studies have found that 7SK RNA binds the CDK9/cyclin T complex (known as elongation factor P-TEFb). Lineage: Eukaryota; Metazoa; Chordata; Mammalia; Primates; Indriidae. The record is from Rfam by way of RNAcentral.